UUCAAAUACAACAACAACAACAACAACAAACCCAGUGUAUUCCCACUUAGUGGGGUCUGGGGGGUAAGAUGUACGCAGUCCAUACCUCUACCUCUGAUGAAGUAGAAAGGCUGUUUCCGAAAGACCCCCGGCUCAAGUCACGAGAUAUCACACAAACACAUAGUACAGCACAGAAGCAGAUGACGUAACAUAGAUACGGCACCCAUAAGGAAUAUAAAACAGAGUAAAGCAGGAAUGCAGGAAUAUAAAGCAGAGGAAAGCACACAUAUUCGUAAUAAACAUGGAACACGGAACACGGAACAUUGAAUACGGAAUCAUAACAGGAAUACACCCCCACCAAUUUAUCCCUACACUAGCGACCCGAACUGGCCCUAAUCCUCUGCCGUAAUUCGCAUCUUCCAGACCUUCCUAUCUAGGGUCAUGUCCUCGGUGAGCUGUAACUGUUCCAUGUCCCGCCUAAUCACUUCACCCCUAAUAAUUAACAACUUAAAAUAAUUGGUUACAUAAAUUGGGGCAGAAGAAAAAGUCUAUAAAUCACAAUAACUAAUAAUUAAAAGUACAACAACAACAAACCCAGUGUAUUCCCACUUAGUGGGGUCUGUGGGGUAAGAUGUACGCAGUCCAUACCUCUACCUCUGAUGAAGUAGAAAGGCUGUUUCCGAAAGACCCCCGGCUCAAGGCACAAGAUAUCACACAAACACAUAGUAAAGCACAGAAGCAGAUGACAAUAAUAUCAAUACGGCACCCAUACGGAAUAUAAAACAGAGGAAAGCAGAGGAAAGCAGAGGAAAGCACACAGAUUCGUAACAAACAUAGAACACGGAACACGGAACAGAACAUUGAAUACGGAAUCAUACCAGGAAUACACCCCCACCAAUUACCUCCCUACAUUAGCGACCCGAACAGGCCCUAAUCCUCUGCCGUAAUUCGCGUCUUCCAGACCUUCCUAUCUAGGGUCAUGUCCUCGGUGAGCUGUAACUGUUCCAUGUCCCGCCUAAUCACCUCACCCCAGUACUUCUUCGGUCUACCCCUACCCCGUCUAAAACCCUCCAACGCUAGCCUCUCACACCUACGGACCGGGGCAUCCAUGCCCCUCCUCUUCACGUGUCCGAACCAUCUCAAUCGUGCUUCCCGCAUCUUACACUCCACUGAAGUCACACCAACCUUCUCCCGGAUAGUCUCAUUCCGAACUCUAUCCCCUCGGGUCAGUCCACACAUCCAGCGCAACAUCCGCAUUUCUGCCACCUUCAUUCUUUGGAUGUGGGAGUUCUUAACUGGCCAACACUCCGCUCCAUACAGCAAGGCCGGACGGACUACCACCCUAUAGAAUUUGCCUUUAAGCUUGGGCGGCACCUUCUUA
RNAcentral lists this long non-coding RNA (1360 nucleotides) under Capsicum annuum. RNAcentral's name for it is "long non-coding RNA (CANN_LNC014338)". The record is from RNAcentral. Lineage: Eukaryota; Viridiplantae; Streptophyta; Magnoliopsida; Solanales; Solanaceae.